UGCUUCGGCACCCUUUCCUCCUCCAACCACAGCAAACUCGACUGUCUCGCCAUCCCCUUCACUGCGCAGGCAUUUCUGUGGAUUUGUCUUCCUGGUGGCCGUCUGAUGUACAAAUACAUCCAUUCCGAUUCAUAAAUCCAUAUCCAUUUCUGACAUCGAACCACUUCACAGUGCCAAGGACGUUGGUGGCUAGAACUUUCUCUGGAGUUUUCACUGCCGGCGGGGGCGGCGUCCCCGCCCAGGUUCCCGGACGCCAGGGCCAGGGCUGCGCCGCCGACCGCCAGGCUCUGGGGCGCGGGAAUCUAUCUUUUUAGCUUUUGCUACUUGAGGAUUUUCUCGUUGCCACUUCCUGGCAUAGCAGAAAAUAAAGCAGGUGGUACCUACCAGAGAACAGAAAGACUAGGCGAGGCCUGGGGAAGAACGCUCCUCACAACCACAGGGGGAAGCAGCAUUUGAAAGAGACCACCUGGUUCCAGAGCACAGUUCUAUGUUGGAAAGAUUGGAUCGUUAAUUCUUGGCCAAGAAGAAGUGUUAAUGACAUUGGAAGAAGAUACUAUAAUUUGGAUGCAUGACUGCUAAACUGAUCAUCAUUAAUGAGAAGUAUCAAAGUAAGGCUAAAAGAAAAGGGCUUUAUCCAAGUGACCUUUGAGGAAAUUCAAAUGCUGCCUUUGGAUGGAGAAAUCCUUAUUAUUUCUGCAGUUUCUGCUUUUUCUGCUGCAGAGAGCUUCUCAGACUCUCUCUUGGGUGCCUCCUCUGAACUCUACAGAUGUUCCCUGGUUCAGACAUCUGCAUGUUGCUGGGUUGCUUUGCUUUGUGGCAUCUCUAAUGUCUGUUUUGAAAAGGUUGAAAAGGAGAAGAAUCACAAACACCCUACAAGUUGAAAAUAUCAUCUGUUUUCUAAACUGUAUAUAGCUGAGCUUUUCCUGACCUCUAGGUGAAGCAAUGUCUCCGACUUUUGUAGUUGGUGAUUUCCAGCUUUCUGAAUACACUGGACUGGUGUGUAACCCAGACUCCUUUCCCUGUGUGAGCAUUGGGAUCAGUCUCUAGCUGUGAAAAGUUGAAUCUGGUUCAGUAUUUCUGUGAGCUCUUGUGAUUUUAUAGCUUCUACUCAUGGUUGCCCUUUAAAUCCUCUCUUAGUUUAUAGCCCUGACAUCUCCCUUCUAUUCUUUGACUAUAGCUAUUUAAAUUGUAUUGUGAGAGAAUAAAUCAUCUCCCAGCUAGCUGAGGCCUGGUAGCCUGAUAGGGCUUGUCAUUGAUAUCAGUGAUUUAGAAAGAGGAGUCCCAAGAAUUUGAAUUUGGUGGGACAUUUAUUACAUAUCAUCCACAUACUUCUUUCAAUUAAGUUUUAUUGCCUUUUCUAUAAGAGAGAAAAUGUGCUAGGCAAUCAUUGGUGGCUCAUACUUAUAAUCCUAACUACUCAGGAAACUGAGAUCUGAGGACUGUGAU
Molecule: long non-coding RNA, 1446 nt
Organism: Dipodomys ordii (Ord's kangaroo rat)
Lineage: Eukaryota; Metazoa; Chordata; Mammalia; Rodentia; Heteromyidae
Exons: 3
Source: RefSeq, a predicted model, not a curated record